This 370-nucleotide ribosomal RNA is filed under the name uncultured bacterium. RNAcentral's name for it is "partial 16S ribosomal RNA". It matches the Rfam family "Bacterial small subunit ribosomal RNA", at positions 338 to 722 of the family's 1533-position model. The record is from RNAcentral.
CCUACGGGAGGCAGCAGUGGGGAAUAUUGGGCAAUGGGCGCAAGCCUGACCCAGCAACGCCGCGUGAAGGUAAGUGCCUUUCGGGUUGUAAACUUCUUUUCUCAGGGACGAAGCAAGUGACGGUACCUGAGGAAUAAGCCACGGCUAACUACGUCCACGCCGCCGCGGUAAUACGUAGGUGGCAAGCGUUAUCCGGAUUUACUGGGUGUAAGGGUCGUUAAGCCGGGACUGAAAGUAAGAUGUGAAAACCACGGGCUAAAGGUGUGGCCUGCAAUUGAUACUGUAGUUCUGGAGUACGGGAGAGGUAGACGGAAUGUCUGGUGUAGCGGUGAAAUGCGUAGAUAUUAGGCGGAACACCAGUUGCGAAGGC